RNAcentral lists this ribosomal RNA (232 nucleotides) under uncultured bacterium. Its description in RNAcentral is "partial 16S ribosomal RNA". It matches the Rfam family "Bacterial small subunit ribosomal RNA", at positions 109 to 334 of the family's 1533-position model. The record is from RNAcentral.
AGUAAUACAUAAGUAACCUGCCCUAGACAGGGGGAUAACUAUUGGAAACGAUAGCUAAGACCGCAUAGGUACGGACACUGCAUGGUGACCGUAUUAAAAGUGCCUCAAAGCACUGGUAGAGGAUGGACUUAUGGCGCAUUAGCUGGUUGGCGGGGUAACGGCCCACCUAGGCGACGAUGCGUAGCCGACCUGAGAGGGUGACCGGCCACACUGGGACUGAGACACGGCCCAG